GUUAGUGAUCUUCUAAGCGGCGGUGGAGUUGGUGGUCUUCUAGGGCGCCGAAAGAGAUCUCCAGUAGACACUCCUGCCGUACACGUUCCCGUUGAACCACAUGACCCAAGCAUUCCAGAACAAAUAUCAACCCUUGUGCAUGAAGUAGAAACAGUGAUUGGUGAGAUCAUGACCACGGUGCCAGAAGAGGUGAGUACUGUUGACAAUUUUGCAAGAAACAUUGUUUUCUUUCUACUAAACAUAGAAUAAAGACUGAAUUUGAUUGAGAUAUGGUA
Molecule: long non-coding RNA, 275 nt
Filed under: Pogona vitticeps (central bearded dragon)
Lineage: Eukaryota; Metazoa; Chordata; Lepidosauria; Squamata; Agamidae
Description: lncRNA (ENSPVIG00000008687.1)
Source: RNAcentral